RNAcentral lists this ribosomal RNA (253 nucleotides) under uncultured bacterium. RNAcentral describes it as "partial 16S ribosomal RNA". It matches the Rfam family "Bacterial small subunit ribosomal RNA", at positions 524 to 776 of the family's 1533-position model. The record is from RNAcentral.
UACGGAGGGGGCUAGCGUUGUUCGGAAUUACUGGGCGUAAAGCGCACGUAGGCGGCUAUUCAAGUCAGAGGUGAAAGCCUGGAGCUCAACUCCAGAACUGCCUUUGAAACUAGAUAGCUAGAAUCAUGGAGAGGUCAGUGGAAUUCCGAGUGUAGAGGUGAAAUUCGUAGAUAUUCGGAAGAACACCAGUGGCGAAGGCGGCUGACUGGACAUGUAUUGACGCUGAGGUGCGAAAGCGUGGGGAGCAAACAGG